This 807-nucleotide ribosomal RNA is filed under the name uncultured Bacillota bacterium. RNAcentral's name for it is "bacterial SSU rRNA". It matches the Rfam family "Bacterial small subunit ribosomal RNA", at positions 139 to 919 of the family's 1533-position model. The record is from RNAcentral. Lineage: Bacteria; Bacillati; Bacillota.
UGGGACAACCCGGGGAAACCUGGGCUAAUACCGCAUGAGGCAGCGGUCCCGCAUGGGGCCGCUGUGAAAAGGAGGCCUCUGCUUGCAAGCCUCUGCCUCCGGAUGGGCUCGCGGCCUAUCAGCUUGUUGGUGAGGUAACGGCUCACCAAGGCUAGGACGGGUAGCUGGCGUGAGAGCGCGACCGGCCACACCGCCACUGAGACACGGGCCGGACUCCUACGGGAGGCAGCAGUGGGGAAUCUUGCGCAAUGGACGAAAGUCUGACGCAGCGACGCCGCGUGCGUGAGGAAGCCCUUCGGGGUGUAAACCGCUGUCAGGGGGGAAGAAAGUAUUGAGGUCGAACAGGCCUCGAUAUUGACGGUACCCCCAGAGGAAGCUCCGGCUAACUCCGUGCCAGCAGCCGCGGUAAUACGGAGGGAGCGAGCGUUGUCCGGAAUCACUGGGCGUAAAGGGCGCGCAGGCGGCCGAGGAAGUCCUCUGUGAAAUUCUGGGGCGCAACUCCAGAGGGUCAGGGGAAACUCCUCGGCUCGAGACAGGUAGAGGCGAGUGGAAUUCCCGGUGUAGCGGUGGAAUGCGUAGAGAUCGGGAAGAACACCGGUGGCGAAGGCGGCUCGCUGGGCCUGUUCUGACGCUCAGGCGCGAAAGCGUGGGGAGCAAACAGGAUUAGAUACCCGGGUAGUCCACGCCGUAAACGAUGGGCACUAGGUGCCGGGAGGCGUGAUACCUCUCGGUGCCGAAGCUAACGCGUUAAGUGCCCCGCCUGGGGAGUACGGCCGCAAGGCUGAAACUCAAAGGAAUUGACGGGGG